AGAUGCCAGCAAUCUGGUGAUGGAUGAGCUCUGGGGUGCACAGGGUGGGCCAGAGGAGAGCUGGUGACUGUGGGGACAGAUGCCCAGGCACACAGGUGUGGGGGUGUGGCUUAGACUGCAGCUGCUACUGUGAGACUUGAGGACAGGCUGCACAUCUCUCUUUCCCUCUAGUGCUGGCCUCUGUGGCAAAAGAGUCUCAAGUCCUUCGUUGGCUGUAGAUUUGAUUUUUAAAAGGGAACAAUCUGACAAAUGGUACUGAAUUUGAACAGCGUUGUUCAUGAAUACCCAAAUGUUUUUUCAUCUGAGGACCACACGAUCUUAUUCAGGGAAGUUGGACUUUUAAGAUGGUUAUGAAUUUUGAAUCAGAGUUUUGUUGUCAGGGGAAUGCUUCUUAGAAGGAAGGAAAUGUACUUUCUAACAAGAUUUUCAGCAAACGUUGGCACAUUCAUUAUGGCCACAGGCAUGGAGGUGGCUCAAAUACAUUUUGCAUAAUGUGGAAAUAAUAUUCGCAUUUGUGUUCAUUCCAAGUCACUCAGAGCCGCCGUGAAAGCCACCAGCACAGAAGAGAACAUGGGUGCUUUUGAUAACAAAAUGUUGGUUGGGGGCAACUGUAUGAAUCUUACCAGUUAUCACAAAGGGCCUUCUCCUUAUGUCUUUCAAUAUUUAGGACUAUCUAGAGUAGCAAGCUCUUUACCUAGUGAGCUAUCCCAGGUAGUCCCCCGUAGCUCAGACUUUUGCUGUAUAAUCCAAGUCAGAUAUUAUGUGUGUCAACACCUGGGUUUUCCUUCUGAGUCUCUCCCUUCAGUACUAAGCUUUCUUUGCUCUACACACACCUGUUCAUGGUAGAUGCCCAACUCACAUUCAGUAUUUCCUGCUGAAGGCUGCAGAAAGUCUGACCAUGAAUCUCAUUUUUCACACUAGAAUUGUGUCUGUUUGCCUUGGGUAUGGGAAGAUAAACAGAGCAGGGAAAGGCAAAGGAACAGAAUGAGAGUUGGCAGGGAGGUGGCAGGGGAGGCUGGUCUGUCCAGGAAUUCUAAUAUGAUAUGACUGAUCUGAGACCAUGGAGUAGGUGGGUAGCAAGGUCUGGUAGCAAAGCAAAAAGUCAAAAUUAGAACUGUACUUAAGAGGAUGAGGCAAUGACUCUCUAGUAACCACAGCAUGGGGAGGCAGAGGCAGGAGGAUGGCGUGCUCAGGUGAGCUUCAUCUACACAGUACAUUCGGGGCCUCAAACAUGAUUCUCUGUCACAACAGACAUAGACCAGCUAUGCUGAAGUAUACAUGGCGUGAAAACAGAUAGGGGACUGUUUGGUAGGGGAGGGGAAUAAUGAGACAGAGUUCAAAGAAGCUAGUAGGGGUGAAUAUGAACAAGACACAGUGGUGUACAUGCUUGAAAAUGUCAUAAUGAAGCAUGUUAUUUUGUCAGCUAACUAAAAAUUAUAUGUCUAUGGAGAUGAGGAUCAAGACAGAGAGAGACUGAGACAUAGAUAUAGAUGGGGAGGAAGGCUAUAUACGAAUCAUUAUAAUAUAUCCAGGACACUGAACUACGGAGAACAAAAAUGAAAUAUGACUUUUGGUUUAACAGUGCUGACACUGAGAAACUGUGACAUAUAUUUUAAAUGAUAUGUGUGUGUGUGAGAGAGAGAGAGAGACAGAGAGAGAGAGAGAGAGAGACAGAGAGAGAGAGAGAGACAGAGAGAGAGACAGAGAGAGAGAGACAGACAGAGAGAGGUGGAGAAGAGGGGGGAAGGGAGGAAGAGAGACAGCCAGUUUUAAAUAUUAACCAGUUACAAUGUAGCCUCACCUAGAGAGAGUCUCAAAUGAAGAGUUCUCUACAUGAGGUUGACCUAUGGUCAUGUCUGUGGGGAUUGUCUUGAUUGCUUUCAUUGAAAUGAGGUGGAAAGACCCACCUGGAAUGGCAAUUUGUGGGCUGUCCCCUGAAUUGCUUAAGUCUGAAGGCAGCAACUAAGCAUAAGAAGCACAAAGGUAAUAUGGGUGCGGGUGUUUCUCUCUGCUCUUGGGGCCGUGGGAAGUGCUCAGCUGUUUUGAGCUCUUGUUCACUGCAGGUCUGGACUGUCACCUGGAAUUAUGAGCCAAGUCAAUGCUUUCCUCCCUUAUGUUCUAUUGAAGCCACGGAAGUGAAACUAUCGCAGGUACAUGGUACAUGGAAUCAUUUUUAGUAUGCUACAAAUUUGUUUGAGGACAAUUAUUUUUCUGCAUCUUAGACCGUAUAGAAAAUAAAAAAUG
RNAcentral lists this long non-coding RNA (2244 nucleotides) under Mus musculus (house mouse). Its description in RNAcentral is "long non-coding RNA chr16:6287823-6290067". Lineage: Eukaryota; Metazoa; Chordata; Mammalia; Rodentia; Muridae. The record is from RNAcentral.